CCAGACUCCUACGGGAGGCAGCAGUGGGGAAUAUUGCACAAUGGGGGAAACCCUGAUGCAGCAACGCCGCGUGAGUGAAGAAGUAUUUCGGUAUGUAAAGCUCUAUCAGCAGGGAAGAAGAAAGACGGUACCUGACUAAGAAGCCCCGGCUAACUACGUGCCAGCAGCCGCGGUAAUACGUAGGGGGCAAGCGUUAUCCGGAUUUACUGGGUGUAAAGGGGGCGCAGACGGCAGCGCAAGCCAGGAGUGAAAGCCCGGGGCCCAACCCCGGGACUGCUCUUGGAACUGCGCGGCUGGAGUGCAGGAGGGGCAGGCGGAAUUCCUGGUGUAGCGGUGAAAUGCGUAGAUAUCAGGAGGAACACCGGUGGCGAAGGCAGCGUGCCGUGCCGCCACUGACGCUGAGGCACGAAAGCGCGGGGAUCGAACAGGAUUAGAUACCCCCGUA
This 445-nucleotide ribosomal RNA is filed under the name uncultured bacterium. RNAcentral describes it as "partial 16S ribosomal RNA". It matches the Rfam family "Bacterial small subunit ribosomal RNA", at positions 331 to 792 of the family's 1533-position model. The record is from RNAcentral.